Molecule: long non-coding RNA, 670 nt
Organism: Cyphomyrmex costatus
Lineage: Eukaryota; Metazoa; Arthropoda; Insecta; Hymenoptera; Formicidae
Exons: 3
Source: RefSeq, a predicted model, not a curated record
UAAAGGAUUUUCUAACAACUCCGCUUCACUUUAUACCUACGUACCAACAACCACACGUUUGAACUCUCACUUGCCCUGGAUUAUUGGGAAUUUAUUUGUUUUUUAAAAAUAGCAAAAUUAAAUACUCUAACUUAUUCCGUGAAAUUCACGCGUAUCCCCUUAUAGAAUCCAGCUCCUCAAUUAUGCCCAAAUUUUACCUAAUAGAAUCUUAAGAUUUAAAAAGGACUACCCCUAUCAAACGGAGGUUUGAAAUUUGAAUAACGCGCGCGCCGCUCUGAAUCCUGAUUUGACGAUGAAGUUGGACAGUAAAGUGGCAUCGUUGAUCAUUUCUGGCUGCCAUCUGCUGAGUGCUGACUGCGGUCUGGUCAUCGCCACUCGCCAGUGGUAUUCGCGUCACCAGCGAUCCACUGUGAUCCCUGGUGAUUUCUGUGACGCGUAUUGCGCGGCAUGACGAUAGGCAAACGUGUCCUAAACGAGGAGAACGAAGAAGAGGGAGAAAAAUUGUAAAUCAUGCAGCACCACAGUCCAUCAAUGCGUCGCGUUCUUUCAUCGAUCUUCGUGAAAGAAUCUUCAUCGUCGUCGUUGUUAAUUUAAUCAUAGACUGACGUGUCCGCGCUGUGCCUGGAUGUGUCAAGAGUGAAAUCAUUGGCCGGAGAACCACGAAAGUCCG